Molecule: long non-coding RNA, 4864 nt
Filed under: Brassica napus (rape)
Lineage: Eukaryota; Viridiplantae; Streptophyta; Magnoliopsida; Brassicales; Brassicaceae
Description: long non-coding RNA (BNAP_LNC002863)
Source: RNAcentral
UCCAAUCCAAACCAUUAUGCAAACUCCAAUGAUGAUGAGUCCAAGCUUUUGCAUUGCGGUUGCAACCUCUAUGCCCUAAAAGAACUAUGUAUUUGUUCCUUUUAUCAUUCACGUUUGAAAUAAGGUUUGAUAAAAUGGAGGAAAGAAUAGUUGAAGAUGGAGUUGAUUACUUCAGGACACACUGACUUCACCAAAAAGAACCACUUGAUCCAACUUGGUGUUUCUACGUAUUCUUCUCCUCUACAAACACCUUGGAAAAUUGCUUUUGCGCAUCUACUAACUGGCUCCGAUACCAUAAAAUCUGAACCGUGCUAUUAUAAAGAAAAGAAAUACAAACACAAAACACAUAAUUAACUUAUUUUUAUAUAAAACUUAUUUAUUUAUUUUGUUGAAAAUUCUAGUUGGAUGGAAAAUGGUUUGUAAAAGUACUUACUCUUUUUAUAAUCUCAGGAGUUGUCAUAUCCGUGGAGAUUAGUCCAGGAAAAACAAUGGUUACUUUUAUAUCCGGAUUGAGUUCAAUUCUCAGUGCCUCAUAAAAUCCUAACAAUGCUGAUUUGCUUGCCUACAACAAUAAUUAAUCAAGUAACAUCGGCAUUAUCAAACUAUUAAUUAACUCAAAAAAUUAAUAUUAUUUAAGUAUGUAACUAAUACGUCACCAACGUGUGGCCGGUGGAGGUCUACAUGUGAAUUUGAAUGGUGAAGAUUCUUUUUGUAAACUAACAUAUUAGAUGUCGUAAUUUAUAAAAAAACCAAAUCUUUUUUAUAUAUGUUACAAUAAAACAUAGGAAAUAAGUAUGAACAUAUUUCAUAUAUGUUAAGAAGAAGAAAUCUUACAGAAUAGAUGGUUGCCACUGGGAUAGCUAUCUUUGCUGCAGCAGAAGCAAUCACAACUAUUUUUCCUUUACUUUUUCGUAGAUGGGGAAUUGCAUAAUAAGUGAUGUUUGUUGAGCCCCAGAAGUUGGUAUCCUUUAACAUAUACAGAAUUCAAGUAAAUAAUGUUUAUAUGUGGAGAAAUAGAGCUUGAUUAAGUCAUUUUUGCACGUAAACAACAAAAUAUUCCACAUAAUGUAUACAUUUUAUGAAAAUAGUCGUUUGGAUAUAUGAUAAACAUACAUGUAAUUUUAGUACAAAGGGCCUUUUACAUGGAAAUUCAUAGGAUAUGCAUGAAUCAUCCAUUCACUUAUGAAAUUUAAACCAUCUAAGUCCGUAUUUUGGUAUGAGAUAAUAAUUUCAUUAUAUCACCAUCCACAUUUCAAAACCGGUAAAAUGCAUGUUAUUGAUCAAGAAAAGGUUUUAAGUAAUAAAGUUAUAAAAGUGGUUAUAUCUAUUUUUCCACAUAUGUAUACAUUUACUCUUGGAAGUGGUUAAAUUUCAUGUAUAUAUAUAAUGAUGAACUAUAAUAAAUUCAGGCAUUCUUACUUAGUAAAUUUUAACUUAGAUUUUAGUAUAUGACAACAAUAUGAAUGUGUCUUCCAUUAAUAACUCACCAUUAUAGGAUUAGCGUCUUGAAUCUGGGAGAAAUUCUCAAACAAAACAGUUUGAGAUACACCAGCAUUAUUAAUUAAAUGGUCCACUGUCAAAAUAUAACAACUCGAUUAGAAUAAGCGCAUGAAGAGCUGGAAGAGAGUGACAGUGAAGAGGAGCUGGAUGAGACAAACACUACAAUUGGAUACAAGGAGCUGGAUGGGAGUUCAAUUGGAUUUAACUCAGCACGAGACCCAUUCUCUUUCUCCAAUGGGCCAAUAACCAGAUCAAAGACAAGACAAUUAAAGGAGGCAAUUCUCAGAUUGGUUUACACUAAACCAAUCUCGACAUCUGAAGAAAACCAAGUCAAAGAAGCCUUGAAGAUAUUCAAUUGUUCAAUCUUCAACACUACCUAGUUUUACUUAAGAUAUUUUCGAAAACUACAAGUCCUUGGUGACUCUUUGCUUUCCUUUCUUUCUACUUAAACUCUCUGCAAGAUCUGAAUAAAAUCAAUCACUUUUGUUAUCAAAAAUUCUCUCUAAACUUGUGAUUCCUUUGUUCAGUUUUUGGACAUCGAAUUUGGCUAGAAGAGUGAUCUUCCUUAAGCCUUGAUCUUGUUCACUAGUGGGGCUGCCUCUCACGGACUAAGAUCAUCCCAAUCAGUGCCUGAUCAUUCCGCAGAUCAUCACUGAAACCAUCUCUACCAUCGAUCACCAAUCCCCUUUCUAUCAACUCAUCAAUCGAUCAUCUUUCCAUCAGUGUUAGUAACCUGAUCCAUCACCACCAAAUCAUUACCAGAUCGACCCUCAAGAGCAUCCUAGGGUUCUUCCUUGACCAGGAAGCUAUUAAGUGGUAUCAGAGCAGCUUGAGGGCUUCUAAUCAAAGGGGUUUGUCGAUUCAAUUCUUCUCUCUCUGUUUUGGGAACCUAUUUUCCUUUUCUGAUUCUCUGCAACUCUCUGCAGUUUUCUUUUUCUCUUUACUUUCUAUCUGUUGUAUCUGCAAGGGGGCCAACCAGUAUAAAAAAAAAAAAAAAAAAAGACUAACUUAUUUGUCUUUCUGUAUGAUAAACAUUCGGGUGGCUAUAGUAAAUCUCCACCAAAAUCUGUACGAUAGUGAACGUACAUGCGGUGCCGAUAACAAUUUUACAGAAUAUCGCAUCUCGUCAACACAAAGAUUAGUCAUGUUUUGACAUUAAAGAAGUUUUCCAAUCCUUUUAUCAAAAAGAUAACCAAAAAAAAUGGAGAUUUGUUUGUGUAACUUAGAGGCAACCAAGAGCUUGUAAUGUGAUUCAAUUCAAGUGUUUGUGAUGAUAAUUUAGAUGGUAUUUUCCCAUUCAACAUUACCGGCUGGCGUAUGAUUGAUGAGACAACAAGUUGUAACUCAAAAACUUGAAUGAAAGAUGUGAUUGAAACCGUAGUAUGUAGACUAUAGUCAUUGGUGUGACGAUUUUAUGUUGUACCUUUCCUUUAUGAUGUGGAGUACCUCUUUUUUUAUUGGAAUACUGGGUUAAGGAGAUGUUUUGGAGUCAUUAUCGAAUUGUUCUCACUUUUCAUAUGGAAUGUUCGACUAAAAGCAUCUCCAACCCAUAACACUAUUAUAGUAUCAAAACUACACUAUUUUAAUGUAAUUUCAGCAUUAAAAAAAGUUUUUCUCCUAUCAUAACACCAAAUUUAACACUAAAAGCUAUUUUAUAAUAUUAUAUGUAAUUAUAGUUUUAUUUGUCAUUUAUUUAAUUGUUUAUUUUAUUAAUAAAUUAAGUGAAUAGUAUUUAAGUGGAGUGAAUAGUGUUUUAGUGUGGUAAAUAGUGUCACACCAAAUUUGAUAUGAAAUUAUAGUGUUGCACUAAAAUAGUGUGAUUUUUAGUGUUGGGUUGAAAAAGGUUUUAGUGUCAAAAUCACACUAAUAUAGUGUUUUGGAGUUGGAUUGAAGAUGGCCUAAACAACAAAGUUCUCUUAAUGUGUAUGUUUAUAAGGUAAGAUAUAGAUCCACAUUGUUCUAAAAUACUAAUUCAUACUAUGAUCCUCAAAUAAAGGUACAAUCUCCACAAAAUCUGGAAUCCGAAAUCCGAACUGAACCCAAACCAAAAAACCUGACCCGUUAUCCGAUCCAAAAUGUAAAAAUACCCGAACGGAUCUUGUAGAAUGGUACAGAAAAUAUCCGAACUCGAAGUGUUAUUAACCAAACCCGAACGGGUAACCCAAAAAAUCCGAAAUUAAUAGUUAAUAUAAAUAUAUUUAAACAUAUAUAAGUAUUUCAAUUAUCAAAUUCAAUAUUGUGGUAAUACGAUAUAUAAUAAUAAAUAUUAAAAUUUUAAUAAAUAAUUUAAGUACACAAUUAGUUAUAAAUAAGUAUUUUAUAAUUUGCUCAUUGAAAUAAAAAAGUCUACUCUCUAUAAAACAAUACAUAUUGUUUACAAAUAAUGUUUGUUUUCAUGCUUGAUUUAACAUUUUAUUGUUAUUUUAUCUAUUUUAUUUGUGAUAGAUUAAUUUUUAUUUACUUUAGACGUUUUUCUUAUGGUUCAAUUCAAUUCAAGGGAAUGAGAAAGACAAUUCCUUAUGGUUCCCAUAAAAAUGCACCAUUCAUAAGGAAUUAAUUUUCCUUUAUAUUUCUUAUCAUUUUUUUUUGUAGAGAAUAACAAAACAAAAUUAUUUCUCAUUAUUUUUAAGGAGAAAUAAUCAUUCCCACUCAUUCCUUUAAUUUUAUUCCUCUUCGUUCCUUUUUUAUUUGUUCAUAAUGUUCCUCAAAUAGUUACCAGUCACACUCUUUAUGUUUUGCUUUAAAUUUUUUGUUCUUUUACUUCGGUUAUAAUCAAACCAAACCGAUAUAACCCGAAUCCGUACAAUAUUGAUUACUUUAUGGAUUUUAAGAUGCAAUACAAUUUUGAACCGAACCCGAAAUGUUAUUCUCCGAACCCGACUAAUACUAAUCAAAUUUUAGUAUGGGACCUAGGAGCGUAAACCCGAAAACCUAAAAAUCUGAAAACUCCGACCCGAACGCCAACGGAUAUCCGAACUCUUAGGCCUAACUCAAACUAUGAUUUUUACUAUUCAAUGCAAAGAAUCUCUUGUUUGUUUGUUUGACACGACUAAAACAAAAGUACCACUACUUAAAUUAGAUAAAUGUAAAAUCUCCAAAGUUUAUGAAAAAGAAUGUUCCAAUCCAAACCAUUAUGCAAACUCCAAUGAUGAUGAGUCCAAGCUUUUGCAUUGCGGUUGCAACCUCUAUGCCCUAAAAGAACUAUGUAUUUGUUCCUUUUAUCAUUCACGUUUGAAAUAAGGUUUGAUAAAAUGGAGGAAAGAAUAGUUGAAGAUGGAGUUGAUUACUUCAGGACACACUGACUUCACCAAAAAGAACCACUUGAUCCAACUUGGUGUUUCUACGUAUUCUUCUCCUCUACAAA